AUGCUCACUUCAGCAGCACAUGCACUAAGGUCGGAACGGCACAGAGAUUAGCAUGGACCCCGUGCAAGAAUGACACAAAAGUUCAUGAAGCAUUCUGUAAUUUU
Psammomys obesus (fat sand rat) is the source of this 104-nucleotide small nuclear RNA. The record is from RefSeq and is a predicted model, not a curated record. Lineage: Eukaryota; Metazoa; Chordata; Mammalia; Rodentia; Muridae.